RNAcentral lists this ribosomal RNA (481 nucleotides) under uncultured Sphingobacteriales bacterium. RNAcentral describes it as "bacterial SSU rRNA". It matches the Rfam family "Bacterial small subunit ribosomal RNA", at positions 896 to 1382 of the family's 1533-position model. Lineage: Bacteria; Pseudomonadati; Bacteroidota; Sphingobacteriia; Sphingobacteriales. The record is from RNAcentral.
GAAACUUAAAGGAAGUUGACGGGGCCCGCACAAGCGGAGGACAUGUGGUUAAUUCGAUGAUACGCGAGGAACCUUACCUGGGCUUAAAUGUAGAGUGCAUUUUUUAGAGAUAGAAAUUCCCUUCGGGGCUUUCUGCAAGGUGCUGCAUGGUUGUCGUCAGCUCGUGCCGUGAGGUGUCGGGUUAAGUCCCAUAACGAGCGCAACCCUUAUCGUUAGUUGCCAUCUGGUAAUGCAGGGGACUCUAGCGAACUGCCACCGUAAGGUGAGAGGAAGUGGGAUGACGUCAAAUCAGCACGGCCCUUAUGUCCAGGGCUACACACGUGUUACAAUGGUCGGUACAGAGGGCAGCUACCUGGUGACAGGAUGCUAAUCUCGAAAACCGGUCUCAGUUCGGAUCGAAGUCUGCAACUCGACUUCGUGAAGCUGGAUUCGCUAGUAAUCGCGCAUCAGCUAUGGCGCGGUGAAUACGUUCCCGGGCCUU